CCUACGGGAGGCAGCAGUGAGGAAUAUUGGUCAAUGGACGAGAGUCUGAACCAGCCAAGUAGCGUGAAGGAUGACUGCCCGAUGGGGUGUAAACUUCUUUUAUAAAGGAAUAAAACGAGGCACGUGUGCCUUUUUGCAUGUACUUUAUGAAUAAGGAUCGGCUAACUCCGUGCCAGCAGCCGCGGUAAUACGGAGGAACCGAGCGUUAUCCGGAUUUAUUGGGUUUAAAGGGAGCGUAGAUGGGUUGUUUAGUCCGUUGUGAAAGUUUGCGGCUCAACCGUAAAAUUGCAAUUGAUACUGGCAGUCUUGAGUACAGUUGAGGUAGGCGGAAUUCGUGGUGUAGCCGUGAAAUGCUUAGAUAUCACGAAGAACCCCGAUUGCGAAGGCAGCUUACUAAACUGUGACUGACAUUGAUGCUCGAAAGUGUGGGUAUCAAACAGGAUUAGAUACCCUGGUAGUC
RNAcentral lists this ribosomal RNA (460 nucleotides) under uncultured bacterium. RNAcentral describes it as "partial 16S ribosomal RNA". It matches the Rfam family "Bacterial small subunit ribosomal RNA", at positions 338 to 795 of the family's 1533-position model. The record is from RNAcentral.